CUCAAGGAAGCGAUUUGCCUAUGUGGACAGAAAGUGCGCCCUCAAGGAAGAGUUUUCUAUCCACGUAGGCAAAGCGUUUCCUUGAGG
This is a non-coding RNA of Gossypium hirsutum (cotton), 87 nucleotides long. NCBI's taxonomy places the organism in Eukaryota, Viridiplantae, Streptophyta, Magnoliopsida, Malvales, Malvaceae. The record is from Rfam.